GGAUUAGAUACCCUGGUAGUCCACGCCGUAAACGAUGAGCACUAGGCGUUUGUCUUUUCGGGAUGGCCGUUGUAGAGAAAUUACUAAGUGCUCCGCCUGGGGAGUACGUUCGCAAGGAUGAAACUCAAAGAAAUUGACGGGGGCUCACACAAGCGGUGGAGGAUGUGGUUUAAUUCGAAGCAACGCGAAGAACCUUACCAGGCCUUGACAUACUAGGAUUAAUUUUGUGAAAGCAGAAGGAUUGCCCCUUGGGGUGUAACUAGUACAGGUGCUGCAUGGCUGUCGUCAGCUCGUGCUG
RNAcentral lists this ribosomal RNA (298 nucleotides) under uncultured bacterium. Its description in RNAcentral is "partial 16S ribosomal RNA". It matches the Rfam family "Bacterial small subunit ribosomal RNA", at positions 775 to 1067 of the family's 1533-position model. The record is from RNAcentral.